CAGCAUGUGACGCAUAGUACAGGCCCAGGCACGGCACAAACUACAGUACGGAUCCACUACCGUGUUUCCCAAACGGCGUAGGUUCGUCGGAGAAGGUAGCACGUCGAGGGUUGACGCAAGAAGAAAUUUCAAAUCCUUACCAGUACCACCGUACAAAAGGGAUUUCCACUAGAGGUCCUGCCACAUCACCGAUGUCCACUCCAACCACUUGCCUUGCACCUGGAGAGUCUUCAGCCUCAAAAUCUGAGUGACUGAGACACUGCCGCGCAAUGCUCUGGCUACAUACCUUGAGGAGAGAAUCAACGCUUACAUUACAACUGCUGACACUAACCGUGAAGCUGGCCACGUUCACAUCCGUGUGCUCUCCAGCAGCAAGCAGACAGUGAAGGUCAAGGAUGCCACCAAAGAAAAGUUUGAGGAGCUAAGUGGUACAUCUUUCCCGGAGGAGUUUCCUUAUGUAGCAAAGUCUGUCUUUGCUUUUGUGGAAAUUGAUGGCAAGGACGUGUGCUUC
Molecule: long non-coding RNA, 511 nt
Organism: Sycon ciliatum
Lineage: Eukaryota; Metazoa; Porifera; Calcarea; Leucosolenida; Sycettidae
Exons: 3
Source: RefSeq, a predicted model, not a curated record